RNAcentral lists this long non-coding RNA (5387 nucleotides) under Homo sapiens (human). RNAcentral describes it as "small nucleolar RNA host gene 14". The stretch from base 1 to 95 matches the Rfam family "Small nucleolar RNA SNORD116". Lineage: Eukaryota; Metazoa; Chordata; Mammalia; Primates; Hominidae. The record is from RNAcentral.
GGAUCGAUGAUGAGUCCCCCAUAAAAACAUUCCUUGGAAAAGCUGAACAAAAUGAGUGAGAACUCAUACCGUCGUUCUCAUCGGAACUGAGGUCCAGCACAUUGCCUCCACUUUGGCUUAUUGUGGUUCACGGCACACUCAUUUCCUCUGCACCUUCCUGGUGUCAUUGGCAUGGAAGGAAGGCCCUUGUCCAAGAAGGAUGGUCUUCGUCUUGUGUGAUCUUUGAGAUGCCAUGAGGCCCCUGGAUACAAAUGGUGUGGGCUCCUUUGGAGGCUUUUGGAUUUCUCCUGAAUGUGGCGUUGGUAUGGAAGGAAGGCCAGUGACCGCAAGGGAUGACUUUGAUCUUGGGAGAUUUUUGGAGAUGGCAAAGUGCUUCUAAACAUGUUUGGCAUGGUCUCCUUCAGGCUGGUGGAUACCUCAGGAUGGUGGCGUUGGCAUGGAAGGAAGGACUGUGUCUGUGAGGGAUGAUCAUCCUCUCAUGUGAUCCUUGGAGAUGCCAGGAAGCCCCUUGACACAUGUGGCAUGGGCUCCUUCAGAGGCUUUUGGAUCCGUCGUGAAUGUGGCAUGGGCAUGCAAAGAAAGACAGAGGCUGCAAGGGAUAAACUUCAUCUUGGGAGAUCCCUGGAGAUGGCAGGGAACCCAUGGACACAUGUGGCAUGGGCUCCUUUGGGUGCCGGUGGAUCCCUUCAUACGGUAAAGCCAGAGUUGGGUAUCAACCAGAUACACUGCAGGGGAUCAGAGGACAUGGCCUUUGUGUACUGCACAUCUGUCAGAUUUUCUCAAGCACACCCGUGUUUCCUCUUCACCUCCCACGUGGAAGUGAUGAAUUGGCCAGGACCAUGUUGGUGAGGGACAAUCAUCAUCUCAUGUUAACCUCAGAGAAGCCAGGAAGCUCCUGGACACACAUGGUGUAGGCUUCCUUGGAGGCUGUUGGAUCUCUCCUGAAUGUAGUGUUGGUGUAAAAGGCAAACCCGUGUCAUGAGGGAUGGUCAUCAUCUUGUGUGAUCCUUGGAGAUGGCAGGAAGCCCUGGACAUACAUGGUGUGGGGGCUCCUCCAGAGGCUGUUGGGAUCCUCCUGGAUGUGGUGUGGGCAUGGAAGGAAGGCCAGUGGAGACAAUGGAUGAUCUUGUUCUUAGCAGAUCACUGGAUGUGGCAGGGAGUCCUAGGACAUGUGUGGUGUGGGCUUCUUCAGGUGCUGGUGGUGUUGGCAUGAGGAAAGGAGGUAUCUUCGAGGGACAAUCUUCUUCUUGUGCGAUCCUUGGAGAUGCCAUGAGGCCCCUGGACACAUGUGGUGUGGGCUCCUUUGGAGGCUGUUGUAUCCCUUCUGAAUGUGGCGUGGGCAUAGAAGGAAGGCCAGUGGCCACGAGGGACAAUCUUGGUCUUGGGAGAUCCUGGAAAUGAUAGGGAGUCCCUUGAUAUGUGUGGCAUGGGCUCCUUCAGGUGCUAGUGGAUUCCUUAGGAUGGUGGUGUUGGCAUGAAAGGCAGGCUUGUAUCAUGAGGAAUGAUUGUCAUCUUGUCUGAUUCUUGGAGAUGGCAGGAAGCCCCUGGAAACACAUGGUGUGGACUCUUUCACAGGCUGUUGAAACCCUCCUGAAUGUGAGGCCAGAGACAGGCAGACAGCAGAUGUAUUGCAGGGAGCUGGAUGACAUGGCCCUUGGAACCUGUGCACAUGCCUGCCUUUCUGAUGCACGUCCAUGUUUUCUCUGCACCUCCCCGGUGGUGUUGGUAUAAAAAGCAGGCUUACAUCAGCAAGGGAUGAUUGUCGUCUCAUGCGAUCCUGGGAGAUGGCAGAAGUCCCGGGACACAUGGAGUGUGGGCUCUUUCGGAGGCUGUUGGAUCCCUCCUGAAUGUGUUGUGGCCAUGGAAGUAAGGCCAGUGGCUACGAGGGACAGUCUUCAUCUUGGGAGAUCCCUAGAGAGGGCAGGGAGCCCCUUGACAUGUGGAAUGUGAUCUCUGUUGGGUGCUGGUGGAUCCCACAGGUGGUCUGGCAUGGAAGAAGGCCAGAGGCUGCGAUGGAUCAUCUUUGUCUUGGGAGAUUCCUGGAGAUGGUGGGGAGCCCCUGGGCACGUGCAGCAUAUGUGGCGUGGGCUUCUUCAGGUGCUGGUGGAUCCCUCAGGAUGCUUUUCAAGGUUUUUCUAUGAGUUCUGUUAAAGAGUCUGAAAAUGGAGCGUAGAAGACAUGCUUCGAUUUCCAGGAUGGUUGUGUUUUCCAGAGAGGCGGAGGUAAACCACUGGCGCAGCCCUGCCUCCCACAGAUAAUUCCGGGUGCAGUGUUUCAUAUCUAGACUUGGACUUCUAUCCUACCAUACUUCUUUGUGUGCAGUUCAUUGUGGAACCAGCACAGAUUUUCAUACGAAAGUUAUUUCUUUUUAACCUCAAAAAGUGACAGAAUGGAGUGUAUCAUGAAAAAGUCUGACAUCAAAACCUCAAAAUGUGAUAUUGAUUGGGUGAGAUAGAAUUCCAUGGAAUUUCAUUGCCAAACCAGUGAAGUGCUAAUUUUGACAUUUGUACCAGCUAACGUAGCUGUGAAGAAACACACCAAUACACUUCUAAGGACAGCAUAGACCAAGAUCUAGGUUUCAUAUGGAUGAAUUUAUUCUUCCCUUUGAGGCAAGACAAGAAGGAAAGAAAGUAUUGGGAAUAAUGCUGCCCUCCCAUCCUCAAGGGCCAGUGGGAACUCUAAUAUUGAUUGGGUGAGAUACAAUUCCAUGGAAUUUUACCACUGAACCAGUGGAGGGCUAAUUUUGUCAUUUGUACCAGUUAACUAACUUGGGAGGAAACAGAACAACACACUCCUGAGGGUAAAAUGGAAACUCUGAGAGUUUGGUUGGCGGCAUCUAUAUACCAUAGAAACAGAGCCUGGGAAGCAGAACAGUGAGACCCAAGAGAAAUGUUCCUGCCUAUACUUGAUUGGUUUUCACAGAAUUCCAUGGACUUUAACUGCUGAACCAAUGAUGCACUGAUUUUGUCACUUGUACCAGCUAACGCAUCUGGGAGGCAACAAAACAAUACUCUCCUGAGGUUAAUGUGGACCAAAAACUAGAUUUCAUAUAAAAGAGUUUAUUCCUUCUACUUGAGGUGUGACAUGAAGGAAAGUAAUGGAAAUAAUUCUGCCCUCCCAUUCUCAAGGGCCAGGGGGAAUUCAAAUAUUGAACGGAAGUGAUUUUGGAAUUGCAUGGAAUUCUCACUGCCAUCCCAAAGAAAUGCUGAUCUUGUCACUCUUACCUGUUUCAUUCCCUGGGGGCAGAACAAAAGGACGCACUCCAAAGAUCGGCAUGAACCAAGAACUGGGUUUCAUAUAAAAUAUUUUAUUCUGUCCUCUUGAGAUGUGACAUGAGAAAAGUAUUGAGAAUACUUCUAUCACCUCAUCUUCAAGAAUCCGUAGGAAUUCUCCCAUGGUGGACUUUACGGUUAACCUGAACAGGUCUUGGAAAAAGGACUUUAAACAUUCUCCUGUUCUGUGGAAUAAGUAUACUUUUUUCUGGACAUACACCUUGUCAGUGAGUUCCAUGUGAUACUAGAGUUGCAUAGAUUUUUAACCUUUACGCCAAUGAAGAUCUGAGGCAAACAUUGCCCCUUUUUUAGAAGUUUGCAUUUGUCACUGAUAACUGUAAUAAUUGAUCUUGUUGAAAAGCCUGGGAAAUGAAGAUCUGAUAUGUCACUUUUACCGGCUUCCUCAACUGAAAAAGAAUACAAUGAAACACGCUGAGAAUUUUUGUGCUUUCUCAGUCUUGCUGAUGAUCUUUCUAUGGGCCUGAAGCGUGGAGAGUGCCAGAGAGGCUGAUCCUCAGCAGUGUGGCAGAGGAAAGUUGGGUGCGACUAAGGGGUAUGCGGUGCCCACAUGCCACUGGGUCCUCAGCAGUACCACCUGAUUGGAAGUGAUAUUGGUGGAAGACAACAUUUUGCCGCUUGGAAUUCUCACCUCCACACCAAAGAAGUACUGUUUUUGUCAUUUGCACCAGCUUCUUUCUCCAGGAAAGAUCAAAACGAUGCACUGCAAGUGUGAUUGGUCCAGAUAGCUGCCUUAUCCAACUGCCUCCUUUGGACCACUUCAUCAUGGGACAGCUUGAUGCAAUCUACUUGACAAGACCCUGGAACCCCACACCCCUCAUGGAACCAGUGUCCACCUCCCAGUCACAGUGUGACCCCAGGGAACUCUUGCCUGCUUGCUUUAAACCCACCACUUAAAAGUCUCCACAGAAAACCUGUUUGAAUAGUACCCUUGACCCAAUAAGGGCAUUGGCCCCUGGGUGUCUCUCUCUCUCUCUCUCUCUCUCUCUCCCUCUCUCUCCCUCUCUCUCUCUCGCUCCCUGACCUCUGCGUGUGGACUCCAGGCAUGCCAUAUACCCCUCAGGACCUGAAGCAAAAGAAUGAAUUAAAGAAAACUCCAGAGAAUGAGCUGACAACCUACUCCCUGGUCAGUGGCUCUCCAUGCCUACCUGUGGUCUCUUGGACACCCUUGCAGAUGACUUCCUGGGAACUCUUCUGGGAGUGAAUGUUAUCAGCAAAUUCCCAAAACAACACCCCUUAGACAAAAAGCCUCCUCACCUAUGCAUUGCCUAGACCACCCACUAAAGGUGAUGGCCACAAAGAGGUGGAUUUGUUGAGUUGGUGCCAUUCCUUCUACUGCCAGCUUCACCAAAACAAUGACACAGUCUUCCUUCCGCAUGGAGACUCUUCUCUUUCCUGUGUUGCAGUGGAUGCCUCCUGCAGAUAAGAAAUGCUUAACUGAGAAAUGCUCAUGUUGGGAUAUCAUCGAUGAGACUUUAAUUUGGGCAUGGUGACUGUUUCCCUUGCUGCCACUUGACUCAAUCCCAGGAGCCUCAGUAGAGGAUAUAAUAUUACACAAGAUGCUCAAAAUGGUGGAAUUGCUCAGUGCUCCCAUAAAUAUACAUUUAUAAUUUUCAUUUGCCACAUGGUAAACUGAAAAAUACAGACUAUAUUAAAAAGAAACUGCAUGAUUUUUUUUCAAAAAUUCAAAGCAUAUUUAAAUAAUAUAUAAAUUAAAUGCCCUCCUCUCUUCCAAUUCUGUCCCUAUAGUUUUCCUCUAUUAAGUGAACUACAUGCAUUCUUUUAGUGGAUAGAUGCACACAAACACACAAGCCAUUAUGGGGAAGGAUCCACGUGUGUGGCCAUAUUGUAACACAUUUUUCUGCAAAUCACCUCUUUCAUUUAACAGCCCUUAUUCAAUGGCCUUUUUCUUUUUCAGUAGUACAUACACAUCUGUGUCAUUUGUUGAAUGACGACAUGAAUGUUUUGUAGAUAAAAUAUAAUUAAAUGUUUUAAGCAUUUCUCACUCAUAGAUAUUUAUGUUAGCACCAAAUUUCUGUGCAAUGAACCUCCCUAUAUAUCAGUAAUUUUGCAUUUGUCUAUAAUAUCAUAAUAAAU